This 460-nucleotide ribosomal RNA is filed under the name uncultured bacterium. Its description in RNAcentral is "partial 16S ribosomal RNA". It matches the Rfam family "Bacterial small subunit ribosomal RNA", at positions 338 to 795 of the family's 1533-position model. The record is from RNAcentral.
CCUACGGGAGGCAGCAGUGAGGAAUAUUGGUCAAUGGACGAGAGUCUGAACCAGCCAAGUAGCGUGAAGGAUGACUGCCCUAUGGGUUGUAAACUUCUUUUAUAUGGGAAUAAAAUGUUCCACGUGUGGGAUUUUGUAUGUACCAUAUGAAUAAGGAUCGGCUAACUCCGUGCCAGCAGCCGCGGUAAUACGGAGGAUCCGAGCGUUAUCCGGAUUUAUUGGGUUUAAAGGGAGCGUAGGUGGAUUGUUAAGUCAGUUGUGAAAGUUUGCGGCUCAACCGUAAAAUUGCAGUUGAAACUGGCAGUCUUGAGUACGGUAGAGGUGGGCGGAAUUCGUGGUGUAGCGGUGAAAUGCUUAGAUAUCACGAAGAACUCCGAUUGCGAAGGCAGUUCACUGGACUGCAACUGACACUGAAGCUCGAAAGUGUGGGUAUCAAACAGGAUUAGAUACCCCUGUAGUC